RNAcentral lists this ribosomal RNA (693 nucleotides) under uncultured bacterium. RNAcentral's name for it is "bacterial SSU rRNA". It matches the Rfam family "Bacterial small subunit ribosomal RNA", at positions 8 to 694 of the family's 1533-position model. The record is from RNAcentral.
AGAGUUUGAUCCUGGCUCAGGAUGAACGCUAGCGGGAGGCCUAAUACAUGCAAGUCGAACGGUAACAGGGGUAGCAAUACCUGCUGACGAGUGGCGCACGGGUGAGUAACGCGUACACAAUCUGCCUUAUACUGGAGCAUACCCCCAAGAAAUUGGGAUUAAUUCUCCAUAAUAUAUCGAAAAGGCAUCUUUUUGAUAUUAAAACUCAGGUGGUAUAAGAUGAGUGUGCGUCUGAUUAGCUAGUUGGUGAGGUAACGGCUCACCAAGGCAACGAUCAGUAACUGGUCUGAGAGGAUGAUCAGUCACACGGACACUGAGACACGGGUCCGACUCCUACGGGAGGCAGCAGUAGGGAAUAUUGGACAAUGGGCGCAAGCCUGAUCCAGCCAUCCCGCGUGAAGGAUUAAGGCCCUCUGGGUUGUAAACUUCUUUUCUCUGGGAAUAAAAACCGGUAUUCAUAUCGGCUUGAAGGUACCAGAGGAAUAAGCACCGGCUAACUCCGUGCCAGCAGCCGCGGUAAUACGGAGGGGUGCAAGCGUUAUCCGGAUUCACUGGGUUUAAAGGGUGCGUAGGUGGCUUUGUAAGUCAGUGGUGAAAUCUUAGAGCUUAACUCUAAAACUGCCAUUGAUACUGCUUAGCUUGAAUCAAGUUGAGGUGGAUGGGAAUAUUACAUGUAGCGGUNAAAUGCUUAGA